CAGUAGCCGCGGGAAAACGUAGGGUGCAAGCGUUAAUCGGAAUUACUGGGCGUAAAGCGUGCGCAGGCGGUUAUAUAAGACAGAUGUGAAAUCCCCGGGCUCAACCUGGGAACUGCAUUUGUGACUGUAUAGCUAGAGUACGGCAGAGGGGGAUGGAAUUCCGCGUGUAGCAGUGAAAUGCGUAGAUAUGCGGAGGAACACCGAUGGCGAAGGCAAUCCCCUGGGCCUGUACUGACGCUCAUGCACGAAAGCGUGGGGAGCAAACAGGAUUAGAUACCCCGGUAGUCCCUGUCUCUUAUAA
RNAcentral lists this ribosomal RNA (301 nucleotides) under uncultured bacterium. Its description in RNAcentral is "partial 16S ribosomal RNA". It matches the Rfam family "Bacterial small subunit ribosomal RNA", at positions 509 to 809 of the family's 1533-position model. The record is from RNAcentral.